This 492-nucleotide ribosomal RNA is filed under the name uncultured bacterium. RNAcentral describes it as "partial 16S ribosomal RNA". It matches the Rfam family "Bacterial small subunit ribosomal RNA", at positions 29 to 507 of the family's 1533-position model. The record is from RNAcentral.
AGUGAACGCUGGCGGUAGGCCUAACACAUGCAAGUCGAACGGCAGCACAGUAAGAGCUUGCUCUUACGGGUGGCGAGUGGCGGACGGGUGAGGAAUACAUCGGAAUCUACUUUUUCGUGGGGGAUAACGUAGGGAAACUUACGCUAAUACCGCAUACGACCUACGGGUGAAAGCAGGGGAUCUUCGGACCUUGCGCGAUUGAAUGAGCCGAUGUCGGAUUAGCUAGUUGGCGGGGUAAAGGCCCACCAAGGCGACGAUCCGUAGCUGGUCUGAGAGCAUGAUCAGCAACACUGGAACUGACACACGGACCAGACUCCUACGGGAGGCAGCAAUGGGGAAUAUUGCACAAUGGGCGCGAGCCUGAUCCAGCCAUACCGCGUGGGUGAAGAAGGCCUUCGGGUUGUAAAGCCCUUUUGUUGGGAAAGAAAAGCAGCAGGUUAAUACCCCGCUGUUCUGACGGUACCCAAAGAAUAAGCACCGGCUAACUUCGUG